GGACGAACGCUGGCGGCGUGCCUAACACAUGCAAGUCGAACGGGGUUACGAGAGCUUGCUCUUGUAACACUUAGUGGCGAACGGGUGAGUAACGCGUGAGGAACCUGCCUUUCAGUGGGGGACAACAGUUGGAAACGACUGCUAAUACCGCAUAAUGUAGCGAGACCGCAUGAUCUUGCUACCAAAGCUUUAUGUGCUGAAAGAUGGCCUCGCGUCUGAUUAGAUAGUUGGUGGGGUAACGGCCCACCAAGUCGACGAUUGGUAGCCGGACUGAGAGGUUGAACGGCCACAUUGGGACUGAGACACGGCCCAGACUCCUACGGGAGGCAGCAGUGGGGGAUAUUGCACAAUGGGGGAAACCCUGAUGCAGCAACGCCGCGUGAAGGAAGAAGGUCUUCGGAUUGUAAACUUCUGUUUUUAGUGAAGAAACAAAUGACGGUAGCUAAAGAGGAAGCCACGGCUAACUACGUG
RNAcentral lists this ribosomal RNA (471 nucleotides) under uncultured bacterium. Its description in RNAcentral is "bacterial SSU rRNA". It matches the Rfam family "Bacterial small subunit ribosomal RNA", at positions 27 to 507 of the family's 1533-position model. The record is from RNAcentral.